UGGAUUAAGAGCUUGCUCUUAUGAAGUUAGCGGCGGACGGGUGAGUAACACGUGGGUAACCUGCCCAUAAGACUGGGAUAACUCCGGGAAACCGGGGCUAAUACCGGAUAACAUUUUGAACCGCAUGGUUCGAAAUUGAAAGGCGGCUUCGGCUGUCACUUAUGGAUGGACCCGCGUCGCAUUAGCUAGUUGGUGAGGUAACGGCUCACCAAGGCAACGAUGCGUAGCCGACCUGAGAGGGUGAUCGGCCACACUGGGACUGAGACACGGCCCAGACUCCUACGGGAGGCAGCAGUAGGGAAUCUUCCGCAAUGGACGAAAGUCUGACGGAGCAACGCCGCGUGAGUGAUGAAGGCUUUCGGGUCGUAAAACUCUGUUGUUAGGGAAGAACAAGUGCUAGUUGAAUAAGCUGGCACCUUGACGGUACCUAACCAGAAAGCCACGGCUAACUACGUGCCAGCAGCCGCGGUAAUACGUAGGUGGCAAGCGUUAUCCGGAAUUAUUGGGCGUAAGCGCGCGCAGGUGGUUUCUUAAGUCUGAUGUGAAAGCCCACGGCUCACCCGUGGAGGGUCAUUGGAAACUGGGAGACUUGAGUGCAGAAGAGGAAAGUGGAAUUCCAUGUGUAGCGUGAAAUGCGUAGAGAUAUGGAGGAACACCAGUGGCGAA
Molecule: ribosomal RNA, 666 nt
Filed under: Bacillus proteolyticus
Lineage: Bacteria; Bacillati; Bacillota; Bacilli; Caryophanales; Bacillaceae
Description: bacterial SSU rRNA
Rfam family: Bacterial small subunit ribosomal RNA
Source: RNAcentral